AGCACCAGGCUCUAUCGCCGGAUUGCUUUUGAGCUGGCAGUUGCUUUUUUGUGUUGGCUGAUCCGGUGUCAGGGAGAACAAUGCGGGGCUUUGCAGAAUUUUGGGCCGCGUGGGGCUGGCUGGGGGCAGGGAGGCAUGGCACACUGGAGAGCGGCCUCACGGGCCGUGAUUAAUUAUAGGAGAACUUUUCCAUUAGUAAACUGCAAAACAAAUUUUGUUGGUCCUUUUUAUUUAACAUUCAUCUUGCACACCGAUGCAAAUUGCUCCAUGCUCCUUCCCAAGCUCUUCAGCAGUGGGAAGCAAAGCAGCUCCUUGUUCCUUUUUGAUGGGGUUGUGCAGUCAGGUAAAUAGGCCUCCCGCCUCUCUGAGCGUAUGUUCUAUCAGGAGUCAGCCUCAUCUCCCACAUGUACAAGCAGGAAUGUUUUACAUUCACGUUUCCUCUGUUACUUGUUCCUCAUGCUGGAGUUAAUCAACAGAGAGAAGAUAAAGGGCUGGCAGCAGCCAUGGAGGCUUCCCAAGAUGCAGGAAGAGCUCCUGCCACAGGAGAGAAGAGGUGAUUGACUGGCAUCCACCUGUGCUCAUGUCCCAGGGCUGUGACUGAAGCUGGAGCUCACCCAGGUUCCUGUGUUCACUUUACCAAUGCCUUGGUUUGUCCAAGCAAAGUGAUACCUAUCUCCUGAAAUACUCAGAUCAAGACUGAAUGCUCAUUUGAUAGUUUCUUAAAUCAAACACAAGCUACUGGGAUUAGCAGAGAUUUAUUGACCUGUUGUACAAACCGUGUGAUCUUCAGUGAUGCAAGAGACUUGUUCAACUCAGUGAAUUUAGGAACUAAAAUGACUCUUAUGCUAGGGUCAUCAGUUUCAGCCAUAGACAGCAACUUGAACCUGGAAAGUAGAUCACCUUGCUCACAGAGCAGGUCCAUAGAGCAAACUGUGAAGUCAUCUUAGGAAAUGACUAAAAGGGAAUGGCAAGUGUUAUAUAACUUCUUGCUGUAUCACAAGACUACUGUAAUUCUUCCGGGUUUAGGUCCUGUUGGAAAAGAUCCAGUCUGAGCUUAUAUUUCUGUCUUGACUCUCAGCUCGUAUAUUCAAGCUUCUGCGAGCAAACAAAUCCAUCUUUCAUUUGGAUACACUUAUAGAAAAGGAAACUACUUAUUUUUAUUAGUUAUCUUUUAUAAAACAAGGAUAUAAACAUUUAUAAAAUAAGCAUAUGUGUAAAAUCUCUGUUACCAGAUAAAAUAAUCUGCUUGAGUUACUCUAGUGCCCACCUGUCUUCAGAGAAUGUUCUUCGAGCCUAAGAGCUACUGUACAAGUAAAGUUACUAACAGACAGUCUGAACAGCGAUUACAGUG
Molecule: long non-coding RNA, 1351 nt
Filed under: Numida meleagris (helmeted guineafowl)
Lineage: Eukaryota; Metazoa; Chordata; Aves; Galliformes; Numididae
Description: lncRNA (ENSNMEG00000019104.1)
Source: RNAcentral